This is a long non-coding RNA of Heterocephalus glaber (naked mole-rat), 834 nucleotides long. The record is from Ensembl. Lineage: Eukaryota; Metazoa; Chordata; Mammalia; Rodentia; Bathyergidae.
CGCGUUCACACUCGCGCUCCUCCCCAGCCGGCUGCCCCAGGACCGCGGGCCCGAGCAGCGGCCCACACCCAGGAGCGAGGAGGCGGUUAAAGGCGGCAGGGAGGCUGACAUCUUUUAUCUCGGGGUCUAUGGGUAACCGCUCCGCAGUGUUCCCUCGGGAGAUCUUACCGAGCCCGCCGGGGGCCGUCCGCCCAGGCACUGGGGCACUUCACACUCGUGACUCAAGGUCACCACGGCAGUCGGUCCCUGACUCCCAGCCCGGCAGGAGUUCAGAGGCCAGAAGACACCAGCACAUGGUCUUUCUCCCACUCUGAAGUUUGCUGACAUUCCUUGAUCUUCCUGUGCUGCCUCUGCCAUCAGAUGAGAAGUCACAUGUUUCUGAGCCUUGGCCAGGUGCAUGGAUUGGCCAUUGUGUUUAUUUUUCAUCAACUUUUUCCACGGCAGCAGAUGUGCAACUGUUACUUCAAGCCUUUUCUGGGAGGAUCAAAUGACAGCUUACAGGUACCAGGAGCCAUGGGCAUCACAGAUGAAGCCAACACAGAGGGACAAGACUGGAAAGAAAGUGCAGUGAGCCUGAGAGGUGAGUCCCUGGAUCCAACGUGGCUCCAUGGUACUUUUCAUGUCCAUCCUUCCUUAUGCCAGCUCAAAUUAGUUUCUUCCACCUGCAACAAAAGCAUCUCAUUAUGCUUGUCUGAAUUGGUUGUGACUCUCAUUGUCAAGAAACCAUUGCUGGCUGUAAGUCUCCACAGGUUGGCAAAGCUGCAGAGAGAACAGCCAUGCGGGGGUGAGAAGAGCUGCAGAAAUAAAUAUAUGAAAUUUUUCUGGAAGAUCUGG